RNAcentral lists this ribosomal RNA (1292 nucleotides) under uncultured bacterium. Its description in RNAcentral is "bacterial SSU rRNA". It matches the Rfam family "Bacterial small subunit ribosomal RNA", at positions 27 to 1380 of the family's 1533-position model. The record is from RNAcentral.
GGGUGAACGCUGGCGACGUGGAUUAGGCAUGCAAGUCGAAUGGGUUUAGACCCAUGGCGAACGAGGUAGUAACACGUAGGUACGCACCUUCAAGUCGGGCAUAAUCGGUCGAAAGAUCGGAUAAUUCUCGAUAGUCCCUUCGGGGUAAAGAUUUAUCGCUUGAAGAGCGGCCUGCGGGCUAUCAGCUAGUUGGUAGGGUAACGGCCUACCAAGGCGAUGACGGCUAGGGGAGCUGAGAGGCUGACCCCCACCGAUGGAACUGAGACACGGUCCAUACACCUACGGGUGGCUGCAGUCGAGGAUCUUCCGCAAUGGGCGAAAGCCUGACGGAGCGACGUCGCGUGAUUGAUGAAGUCCUUCGGGACGUAAAGAUCUUUUAUGAGGGAAGAAGUCAUUGACGGUACCUCAUGAAUAAGGGGCUCCUAACUCUGUGCCAGCAGGAGCGGUAAUACAGAGGCCCCGAGCGUUACCCGGAUUUACUGGGCAUAAAGGGUGCGUAGGCGGUUGUGUUAGUCUCCCGUUAAAUCAUCAGGCUCAACCUGAUACUCGCGGGGGAAACGGCACGACUCGAGGGUGCGAGAGGUGAAUGGAACUCAUGGUGUAGGGGUGAAAUCCGUUGAUAUCAUGGGGAACACCAAAAGCGAAGGCAAUUCACUGGCGCACAUCUGACGCUGAGGCACGAAAGCGUGGGUAUCGAACGGGAUUAGAUACCCCGGUAGUCCACGCCCUAAACGUUGUUACCUGGCUUUUCGGAGUAUCGACCCUCUGAGAGGCGAAGCAAAUGCGUUAAGGUAACCGCCUGGGUAGUACGGCCGCAAGGCUAAAACUCAAAGGAAUAGACGGGGGCUCGCACAAGCGGUGGAUCAUGUGGCUUAAUUCGUCGCUAAGCGAAAAACCUUACCAAGGCUAGAAACCCUACUGAACUCACUCCGAAAGGAGUGGGGCCUUCGGGCAGUAGGGCAGGUGAUGCAUGGUCGUCGUCAGUUCGUGGCUUGAGUUGUUCCCUUAAGUGGGGAAACGAACGCAACCCUCGUUGCCUGUUAUAAGUGUCAGGCGAGACUGCUCCCUUACGGGAGAGGAAGGUGAGGAUGACGCCAGAUCAGCAUGUCCCUUGAUGCCUUGGGCUGCACACGUGAUACAAUGGACGCUACAACAGGAUGCGACGGGGUAACCCUGAGCAAAUCCUUAUAAAAGCGUCCCCAGUACGGAUUGAGGUCUGCAACCCGACCUCAUGAAGCCGGAAUCGCUAGUAAUCGCAGGUCAGCACACUGCGGUGAAUACGUUCCCGAGCC